RNAcentral lists this ribosomal RNA (573 nucleotides) under Blastocystis hominis. Its description in RNAcentral is "SSU rRNA". It matches the Rfam family "Eukaryotic small subunit ribosomal RNA", at positions 1 to 588 of the family's 1831-position model. Lineage: Eukaryota; Bigyra; Opalinata; Blastocystidae. The record is from RNAcentral.
UAUCUGGUUGAUCCUGCCAGUAGUCAUACGCUCGUCUCAAAGAUUAAGCCAUGCAUGUGUAAGUAUAAAUAAUUCUACUUUGAAACUGCGAAUGGCUCAUUAUAUCAGUUAUAGUUUAUUAGAAAAAAUGUACUACUUGGAUAACCGUAGUAAUUCUAGGGCUAAUACAUGAGUAAAUCCUCGACUUUGAAGAGGUGUGUUUAUUAGUAUGAAAACCAUAUGCUUCGGCAUGAUAGUGAGUAAUAAUAACCUUUCAUAUCGUAUGUUGAAAUAACGAUAGUUCUUUCAAGUUUCUGCCCUAUCAGCUUUCGAUGGUAGUGCAUUGGACUACCAUGGCAGUAACGGGUAACGAAGAAUUUGGGUUCGAUUUCGGAGAGGGAGCCUGAGAGAUGGCUACCACAUCCAAGGAAGGCAGCAGGCGCGUAAAUUACCCAAUCCUGACAUAGGGAGGUAGUGACAAUAAAUCACAAUGCGGGACUGUUUAGUUUUGCAAUUGGAUUGAGAACAAUGUACAAGAGUUAUCGAUAAACAAUUGGAGGGCAAGUCUGGUGCCAGCAGCCGCGGUAAUUCCAG